CCGGGGCUAAUACCGGAUAAUAUAUUGAACCGCAUGGUUCAAUAUUGAAAGACGGUUUCGGCUGUCACUUAUAGAUGGACCCGCGCCGUAUUAGCUAGUUGGUAAGGUAAUGGCUUACCAAGGCAACGAUACGUAGCCGACCUGAGAGGGUGAUCGGCCACACUGGAACUGAGACACGGUCCAGACUCCUACGGGAGGCAGCAGUAGGGAAUCUUCCGCAAUGGGCGAAAGCCUGACGGAGCAACGCCGCGUGAGUGAUGAAGGUCUUAGGAUCGUAAAACUCUGUUGUUAGGGAAGAACAAAUUUGUUAGUAACUGAACAAGUCUUGACGGUACCUAACCAGAAAGCCACGGCUAACUACGUGCCAGCAGCCGCGGUAAUACGUAGGUGGCAAGCGUUAUCCGGAAUUAUUGGGCGUAAAGCGCGCGUAGGCGGUUUCUUAAGUCUGAUGUGAAACCCACGGCUCAACCGUGGAGGGUCAUUGGAAC
Molecule: ribosomal RNA, 488 nt
Filed under: Mammaliicoccus lentus
Lineage: Bacteria; Bacillati; Bacillota; Bacilli; Caryophanales; Staphylococcaceae
Description: bacterial SSU rRNA
Rfam family: Bacterial small subunit ribosomal RNA
Source: RNAcentral